AGGGCAUGCCUUAGUACGGCGAGUGAGCGGCAAAAGCUCAAAUUUGAAAUCUGGUACCUUCGGUGCCCGAGUUGUAAUUUGGAGAGGGCAACUUUGGGGCCGUUCCUUGUCUAUGUUCCUUGGAACAGGACGUCAUAGAGGGUGAGAAUCCCGUGUGGCGAGGAGUGCGGUUCUUUGUAAAGUGCCUUCGAAGAGUCGAGUUGUUUGGGAAUGCAGCUCUAAGUGGGUGGUAAAUUCCAUCUAAAGCUAAAUAUUGGCGAGAGACCGAUAGCGAACAAGUACAGUGAUGGAAAGAUGAAAAGAACUUUGAAAAGAGAGUGAAAAAGUACGUGAAAUUGUUGAAAGGGAAGGGCAUUUGAUCAGACAUGGUGUUUUGUGCCCUCUGCUCCUUGUGGGUAGGGGAAUCUCGCAUUUCACUGGGCCAGCAUCAGUUUUGGUGGCAGGAUAAAUCCAUAGGAAUGUAGCUUGCCUCGGUAAGUAUUAUAGCCUGUGGGAAUACUGCCAGCUGGGACUGAGGACUGCGACGUAAGUCAAGGAUGCUGGCAUAAUGGUUAUAUGCCGCCCGUCUUGAACCCACGGAGAACACAAAA
This is a ribosomal RNA of 590 nucleotides. It matches the Rfam family "Eukaryotic large subunit ribosomal RNA", at positions 70 to 664 of the family's 3401-position model.